Molecule: long non-coding RNA, 227 nt
Filed under: Lathyrus oleraceus (garden pea)
Lineage: Eukaryota; Viridiplantae; Streptophyta; Magnoliopsida; Fabales; Fabaceae
Description: Pisum sativum (pea) long non-coding RNA (PSAT_LNC038261)
Source: RNAcentral
AAAGGCACCGAACCAGAAUCAAAGUGUAACCACAUGAAUCAUGCUAUUAAAGUUCACAAAAGUUCGCAAAAACAACCACGGAUAGGAGGCCUAAACCUCUUGUCAAACAAAUGCAUCAAACGGGUAUCAAAACUCAAAGUCACAGGGCAAGGAUCCACACAUCAAGACAUGACAUACAUACUAAAACAUGUGCAAAAGGAUUGGUUUCAACACUCAAAGGAAGUGGC